UACGUAGGGUGCAAGCGUUAUCCGGAAUUAUUGGGCGUAAAGAGCUCGUAGGCGGUUUGUCGCGUCUGCUGUGAAAACUGGAGGCUCAACCUCCAGCCUGCAGUGGGUACGGGCAGACUAGAGUGCGGUAGGGGAGAUUGGAAUUCCUGGUGUAGCGGUGGAAUGCGCAGAUAUCAGGAGGAACACCAAUGGCGAAGGCAGAUCUCUGGGCCGUAACUGACGCUGAGGAGCGAAAGUGUGGGGAGCGAACAGG
This 253-nucleotide ribosomal RNA is filed under the name uncultured bacterium. RNAcentral's name for it is "partial 16S ribosomal RNA". It matches the Rfam family "Bacterial small subunit ribosomal RNA", at positions 524 to 776 of the family's 1533-position model. The record is from RNAcentral.